Bos indicus x Bos taurus (hybrid cattle) is the source of this 1910-nucleotide long non-coding RNA. The record is from Ensembl. Lineage: Eukaryota; Metazoa; Chordata; Mammalia; Artiodactyla; Bovidae.
CUCCCAACUGCCUUCAGACUGGCGCUGCUGGACUUAAACAGAUUUUUGCUCAACUCUGAAAGUGUUUGCUCUUGCCUCAGUUUCCCUUUUAACAGGAGAUACUAUAGCACAGUUCCUGGCUCAGCAAAUGUUACCUAUUUUUAAUGCCCAUGUCUGUGAUCUUUUAAAAAAAUGUACACAAACAUUUAUAUAGCAGUUUCAAAAGUAAACGUAAUAGUUACAGUAUUCACAACAACAAACAUGCACACACACAGAAGCAUGGAAGGGAGGAACUGCAUUAAAAUCAUAACUGUGCUUACUUUCAGAGUGGAUUAUUGCUGAUCCAUCUUUCUACCAUGCUUGUCUUUAUUCCUACAGUGAACAUGAAUUACUUUUGUAAUAAGAAACACAUUAUUCUUUACAGAGCUGCAGGAAUCAAUCCCAAGAAGAUCUGCUAUCUGUCCUUUUUCUCAUACCUCCUCAAACAUGGAUUCAAGAAGCUCCAACAUCAGCCCUUGUUCUCACUGCCCCCGACCCCCGCCAUGUGGAUUCAUUUAAAUUGGGGACUUUAUGGCCACCCCUCCUGGUUCUUUCUGGGCAGAGGGAGAAGCACAUUUGCAUUCUGGGACAUUGGAAGGAGCAAAGAAGUUGUUCUAGAGGAACUGACUUCUAGGUUGAUACCUGAAGAUGAACAGACUUAAGAGAUGGGGGACUUCCCUGGUGGUCCAGUGGAGAAGAAUCUGCUUGCCAAUGCAGGAGACGUGGGUUUGAUCGUUGGUCCAGGAAGAUUUCACAUGCUGUGGGGCAGCUAAGCCUGCAAGAUGCAACCAGUGAAGCCCUUGCAGGUAAAGCCUAGCCUGUGCUCUGCAGCCAGAGAAGCCAAGACAAUGAGAAGCUCAUGCACCACAGUGAAGGACAGCUCCCACCUGUCUCAACUAGAGAAAGCCCUCAAGCAGCAGCAAAGGCCCUGCAUAACUGAAAAUAAGUAAAGUUAUAAAAAACAAAUCACUGUGGACAGUGACUGCAGCCAUGAAAUUAAAAGAUGCUUGCUCCUUGGAAGACAAGCUAUGACAAACCUAGACAGCAUAUUAAAAAGCAGAGACAUCACUUGGUUAACAAAAGUCUGUCUAGUCAAAGCUGUGGUUUUUUCAGUAGCAUGUAUGGCUGUGAGAGUUGGACCAUAAAGAAGGCUGAGUGCUAAAGAAUUGGUGUUUUCAAACUGUGGUGCUGGAGAAGACUCUUAAAUGUCCCUUGGACAGAAAGAGGAUCAAACGAGUCAAUCCUAAAGGAAAUCAACCCUGAAUAUUUAUUGGAGGGACUGAUGCUGAAGCUCCACCUGAUGUGAAGAGCCAACUCACCGGAAAAGAUCUUGAUGCUGGGAAAGAUUGAGGGCAGGAAGGGAGGAGGGUGACAGAGGAUGAAAUGGUUGGAUGGCAUCACCAACUCAGUGGGCAUGAGUUUGAGUAAACUUCAGGAGACAGUGAAGGACAGGGAAGCCUGGCAUGCUGCACACCAUGGGGUUGCAAAAAGUCAGACAGGACUAAAUGACUGAACAACAACAACAAAAUUAAAAAGAGAGAGAAGGGGCAGGGAGGGGCCAGUGUUGUAAGCAGAGGGACCAGUCUGGGCUUCACUUCAUAAUCCCUUUCUAAUGGGUGUGUACAUAUUAAGAAAGAAAAGUCUUAAGUGAGAAAAAACUUAUCUGGUAAUAAUAAGAUGCUUAUUAACAGAUCUCUUAUCAAGCGGAGCUUUAUUUAGCUCCCUCUUAUGAUCAUACCCUUUGGAGUUGGUGUUAUGGCUACUUACGUGCAUCACCAAAGGAUCUCUGUUGCCUCUGGAAGGCCUUCGGUUUGCUCAUGUCACUCAGGUAGAGGUUUUUUAAGUGACCUUGUUGAAUGUUGAAUCAAAGAAUAAACUGAUAAAGAGUAUCA